This 3235-nucleotide long non-coding RNA is filed under the name Sus scrofa (pig). Its description in RNAcentral is "lncRNA (ENSSSCG00025011898.1)". The record is from RNAcentral. Lineage: Eukaryota; Metazoa; Chordata; Mammalia; Artiodactyla; Suidae.
ACCUGCACUCAUGGCAUAUGGACGUUCCCAGGCCAGGGAUCAAAUCCGAGCCACAGCUGCAACCUAGGUGACACUGGAUCCUUAACCCACUGCAUCACAGUUUUUGAGCACCUGGCAUGUGUGAUAUGAUCUCAUCCAAUUAUCUCUACUUGUUCAAAAAAAUUGCACCUUUUAAGAUCUUUACCUAGAACCUAACACAUUCCUCCAUAAUGAUAUUUAAUUACUUCAACCUGAUCCAGAAAGAGCAAUCCCACAUAGUUCAAACUAAGACCACCAGGGGCUGGCCAAGGAAUGAAGUGCCACUUGCACUAUCGCUUCGAGUAGAAAAUGCAUCUGUGGUGGUUCUAGAAACAUGCCCCCAUUCCACGAAAGUAUUUCCCUCUGAGGCUGCCAAAAAGCCACGGUCCAGUGACCGGGCAUACCACCCCACCUGGGCACACAGGAACCACUUCUGACAACGAACCACAGACCUGGCACUUGUGUAGGGGAGGCACCAGCCCCAGAGGCCGCCCAAGGAGCCCAGAGAGGCCUCCAUCCCUCCCAUCUCUGCUGCCUACCCUACCCUGCAACUGACCUCUCAGUGCGGCCAGGUCGCCUGAACCCCUGCUCUUAAUGGUACCGUGACAGGACUCCUCGAGAAUCCUUCAUAAACUCUCUCAAGCACUGCUCUUGGCGCCUCAUCACAAUACAAUCUAACAAAACAAUAUCACAGCAUUUGGGGAAGAGAGAAGCUACCAAAUUUCACCACAAAGCCUCCCUCCCCCCUGUUCCCCAGGAAACCUAGUUUGCCAGAAGAGGCAUCCUUUGCUCCCGUUUUCAUAAGGAUGCUUGGUUUACCUUUACAGUCUAAUCCCACCCAGGCCCAUGGGGGGCUUUCCUUCUCUGUACCAAUUCUCCCACAGGACCCCUGGGGUGGGCCAUCUAGGAGCCCCUCCAAGAUGUCCAUGUUCUCACACCUGGAACCUGUGACUGUAUUACCCUGCAUGGCAAAGGUGACUUUUCAGAUGGGAUCCGGAUUCUCCUGGAUGGCUCAGGGGGCCCUGAUGCAGCAACAGAGGUCCUUAUAACAAGGAUACAGGAGAAUUUAAAGAGUCAGAAGUAGACGUGAGGAAAGGGUCUCGAGCCAAGCACAGGGGCAGGCUCCAGAAUCUAGAAAAGGCAACGAAACAGAUGCUCUACUCAGGGCCUCCAGAGGGAACCAGCCUUGCCAAUACCUUGACCUUAGCCCAGCGAAACUGAUUUUGGCCUUCAAGACUCUAGAACAGUGAGAAGAUUGAUUUAUGUUAUUUUAAGCCACAAGGUUUGUGGUCAUUUCUAACAGCAUCUCUUCCGGAGAAAGGGGACUGUGAUGAUGAUAAACACACAGAACCAGAAAUACCCUUGAACUUCAGGCAUGAGUCGUCCUCAUUGGGAUCCACACAGCCUUUCUCUCUGGACUCUAGGAGCCCGCUGAAUCCUCUGCUCUCGCUCACCAAAGUUGAGAACCCAAGACCCGUGAUGCCAUAAGCAAGGGUUAUGACUUGUGAGUACUGCUCAGUAGAGCAUCUUAGCACCUAGAUGGAAAAAACAACUCCCAUCCUAGCCUGCUGCCUUUGUGAUUCAUAAACCAGGGAAACGACAGAAAAACAGUAAAGAAUGUGUACAGCACUUUGAUUUUAUCCAACAGAAGAUACUGGGCAAAACAAAACACAAAACCUACAAGGAAGCGCCUCCAGAUCCACAAUUCCUUUUACCACACGGACAGGAGCUGGGCCAAGCCAACUUCGCUCCAUGGAUCCCACAGGUGGGCCAGCCUGCAGUCUCGCCUCGCUGCCGGGCAGCCAGCCUGAGCCCUGGAAAGCCAGAGCCUGUGCCCACGGGGCUCCUCAAGACAACGAGAGGAGGAAGGCUCUGGAAGGUGGUGGCAUCCUGCCCACCUCGGAGGUAGCCUGGGGCCUCUGGAUCACGCCAUCUCGCCAGCACCUGAGAGGUGUGGGCCAGGCAGCCAACCACAUCAGAAGCUGGCUGCCAGCCGGCCCCAGUUGCCCAACACCUCCGCAGGAGCCAGCUUUCCAGGAGUGGGUUUUACCCGCCACACAGGUACCAGCCGCUGCUGACCAAAGCGGGGCACGGCGCCUUGAAGAAUGUCCCACACGAUGGCCAGCCCGACGGGGGUCAAGGAGGCUGUCCGGCUACAGAGCAAUGCAAUGCACCUGCGCUCCACACUGGCCUCUGCAAAGCACGUUCUCUGCGCGGAUUACGCAAAGCAGGAUCCCACCAGGCUCUUCCUAGGACUCCAGCCGACCUCGGCUUUCCUCCAAGCCCAUGUCAGACCUCCCACCCCUCCCUACCCAUCCACCCCUUAAUCCUCCCAACCCUACAAGUCACUGGUUUACACGCUCCCAGUGUAACCCGUUUCCGUUAUGUUUAACAAGUAACGUCGUGAAGGGCGUGUCAGGAUGUUCAGGGUCAGGGUACCUAGGCUUCCUCCGUGGGAGUUAAACCUGUGACUUCAGGGCACGUGUACAAGGUGGCAUUUUAAGCCGGGUAAAGUAGUCAAAGAAAAAAAAAGAAAGUUAACCAACCUUCCACAAAGGGCUCUCAUUCCGCCUCUGCUGAAUAAAGAUGCAACUCGGAAUAUUCCAAGUCCAAGAGAAGGUGGAUUUUGGCAAAAGCGGCAUCUAAUUUGCCCAAGAUUCAAAAUCUUUGAGCCACUUGACCAGUUUUCUCUCUGCCGACUACUUCUUCUGAUGUGCCCCCCCCCCCCAAAAUAAACCAGGCCCAGAAAUAGAAUCCCAUCUCCCUUGGCUCUUAUGACUAAUGUAUGGCCUUCUUUUAAAGCCCUCACACCACAGCUCUGACUCCAGUAAUUUCCUCUUCUUCUCUACGAACGUCCAUUUACAGCCUUUCUGUAACCUCUACGUGAACCAAGAAUGUUCUCUGUCCCUCCCACGGAUGUGGGAUCACGCCCUGGUGAGAGCGGGGUGGCGCUGGACGGAAUCUCUCACUGCAGUGUGAGCUCACUCGGGACCCUACCCAAGCCCAGCUCCCGGAGAAGGGGAGGAGGUCUUUUGCUUUAAGGAGCUUUUACAAAAGACAAAACAAUUCCAAGGGCUGGGUGGGCAACCAGUAAAACUCAAGACAUGGCUCGGGGGUUCCUUAUGCACUUGGAUGAAGGGGCAUAGCGGCGUCUUUAUUUCAUUUUUAUCUGGGGAGGAGGGUUUGGGAAGGUGUCCCAGAAAAUAGCGUCCGUCCG